GAAAAAAGAAAAAGACCAAUCUAUAUACAGAUAUUGAGUUUUUAUUAUCUCUUUAAAUUUGAUUGAUUUACUAUUUCACAAACAGGUAUAGUGCUUACAGUAAAAUACAAGCAAGACUAGGUAGUAAUAACCAAUGCCAAAAAACUGAAAAACACAUAGCGUAGAGCCAGCAACUAGUUAGAUGAUAUAUACGCCAACAACACUGCUUAAACGAUUGCCAACCUAAGGAAAAAUUCUAUCAAACAUCCUGAGUUCUCACCCAUGAGAUAAGGCUGUUUACAUGAGGUAGAUAUGUACCAGAUAAUGGGAAGCCAUGCUUAUCCAUCUCAACCUUUCUCAUAACUUGGAAUCCGAAGUCAUAAGCAUAAAAUGAACCAUCUUCAUCCCUCUUGAAUAUCAAAUCUCCACUGAUUCUCAAACUGAAAAUGGGAACCAUGUCAAUGACGCUACCUGUAGAGAUGCUAUACUGCUUCAUCCAAACUCCACCAUUUAAACUCUUCAAAUUCCAAAUAUCUAUGUCUAGUUCGUGAUGGGUGACAAAACAUAGGAAACCAGCCAUCUCAAUAAUCCUGUCAUAAGUUCUGCCACUCUUGGGGAGUGGUACGGUAUGAAACUUCUCAGUGCCAACUUCCAUGGAUACUAUGUAAUCGUUAUGAUCAAUUUGAGGAAGCCAAUGCAGAGCUCCAAUUGCGGAAACUGGCAUGUACCCAAACCAACCAAAAAGUCCAAAAGAAGGUCCAUUCACUUCCCUCCACAUUCUUGUCCCAAGGUUUAAUAUCUCACAACUGACAUAUCCCAACUCAUCCCGAAACAAGUGUACCACUUUAUAUUCUCCAGUAGCAUCAUUUAGUGCAAAGCCAUACGAUUCAUCCUGAGGAGGAUAUAUAGUACCUAGAGGAAGUGCAAUAAGCUUCCUUGUUACAGGAUUCAUCACUAUCAGUCCCCCUUUCCUCAGUUUGUUAUCAAGCAAAAUUAGACCAUUGCAUGUUGUAGCUCUAAUAUGGCCCAGGCAGCUCAGAUUAUACUCUCGUAUCUUGCUUUUUCCCUCUUUAAAUUCCAUAAACUGGAUGGAAAAUUUUGGUGCCCCACUGAAGUUUGGUUGCCCAAAAAUGGGGACAGGUUCCGAUUGAAGAAAACUUGUUUCAACACAGAAGUUAUUUGGUUGCUCUGGUGGCAUUGAUGUGACAGAAUAAGGGUAUAAUCUUUCUCUUGGAACUGAUUUUUGAAAUAUCAACACAGAUUCAGAGCGACAAAGAUGGGCAUCAAUAAAUGUGGGGCUGUUAAUUAUACUGUACCAAGGCUUGCAAACAAACCUUGAACUUUGAAGUGACUCUAGAGGAAGCUGGAUAAGGAUAUUUGAGAUGCAAUCUUUAUGAAGAUAAGGUACAUGCUGCUUCUUUUGCUCAUCUUCCACCUUCUUGAACAGGGCUCUCUCUUCUACAGAUUUCAACAACCCUACAUUCUUGUUUCCCACGGAUUUGGCCAUUAUAACUUAUUAAUCCUCACUGAUCACUGAAAAAGUUUAAAGAACUGUUAAAAUAACCCCAUUUAUAGCAUAAAAAACUAAUAAAAUACGGUUUGAAACAUAAAAUCCUAACAGAAUUAACUCUCUUAACAUAAUAAAAUAAAUAACCCCAAUCACAAUAGAAUUAGCUCUUGAUGAACAUAACACGGUCAAUUAAAAAUAACCCCAAAUUUAAAUUUUCCACAGUGGAGUGAAUAGUAAAAAUUGCUCUGCAAGGUCUUUCUGCGGAUGGGGAAUGACGAGUCUGCAAUUAUAUCUCUCAUAAAGAGAAUUAUGAUAAUUAGAACCUGUGAAUCUACCAACAGGAUUGUAAUUUACAGACACAGUCCUUCCCAAAAGAAGAUAGCUGAAGGGUCUAAAACAUCUAACAUGUCAACCAAAGGAUCUGGUGCCUCAAGAGUGAUAAUCAUAAAUGAUUUAAAGAAAACUGGGGAAAAACCUAUGGGGAGAUGAACACAGCCUAUAAUAAUUAAACUUUGCCAGUAGCUAGUAGCCCAAUGAUCAGUAGUUGACUUGUAAACUACAGCUAAUCAAUCAUGAACACAAAUUUAAACAAACAACAGUAGCCCAAAUAACAUUUUUCUUAGAGCAAUUGACUAGUAUACCAACAAUGAUCUGAACCAGCAACAACGAUCAUACAAAUAAAAGAAAAAUUAGAUACCCAUUAGACCAAAUCAAGAAAACUAGUUAAAAAAUCUCAAAUUGAGCAGUGAAGCAUCUCUGAGAAUAAGAAGAAUCAAAGAAU
RNAcentral lists this unclassified non-coding RNA (2270 nucleotides) under Hevea brasiliensis (rubber tree). The record is from RNAcentral. Lineage: Eukaryota; Viridiplantae; Streptophyta; Magnoliopsida; Malpighiales; Euphorbiaceae.